Molecule: ribosomal RNA, 1532 nt
Filed under: Acinetobacter baumannii
Lineage: Bacteria; Pseudomonadati; Pseudomonadota; Gammaproteobacteria; Moraxellales; Moraxellaceae
Description: bacterial SSU rRNA
Rfam family: Bacterial small subunit ribosomal RNA
Source: RNAcentral
UAACUGAAGAGUUUGAUCAUGGCUCAGAUUGAACGCUGGCGGCAGGCUUAACACAUGCAAGUCGAGCGGGGGAAGGUAGCUUGCUACUGGACCUAGCGGCGGACGGGUGAGUAAUGCUUAGGAAUCUGCCUAUUAGUGGGGGACAACAUCUCGAAAGGGAUGCUAAUACCGCAUACGUCCUACGGGAGAAAGCAGGGGAUCUUCGGACCUUGCGCUAAUAGAUGAGCCUAAGUCGGAUUAGCUAGUUGGUGGGGUAAAGGCCUACCAAGGCGACGAUCUGUAGCGGGUCUGAGAGGAUGAUCCGCCACACUGGGACUGAGACACGGCCCAGACUCCUACGGGAGGCAGCAGUGGGGAAUAUUGGACAAUGGGGGGAACCCUGAUCCAGCCAUGCCGCGUGUGUGAAGAAGGCCUUAUGGUUGUAAAGCACUUUAAGCGAGGAGGAGGCUACUUUAGUUAAUACCUAGAGAUAGUGGACGUUACUCGCAGAAUAAGCACCGGCUAACUCUGUGCCAGCAGCCGCGGUAAUACAGAGGGUGCGAGCGUUAAUCGGAUUUACUGGGCGUAAAGCGUGCGUAGGCGGCUUAUUAAGUCGGAUGUGAAAUCCCCGAGCUUAACUUGGGAAUUGCAUUCGAUACUGGUGAGCUAGAGUAUGAGAGAUGGUAGAAUUCCAGGUGUAGCGGUGAAAUGCGUAGAGAUCUGGAGGAAUACCGAUGGCGAAGGCAGCCAUCUGGCCUAAUACUGACGCUGAGGUACGAAAGCAUGGGGAGCAAACAGGAUUAGAUACCCUGGUAGUCCAUGCCGUAAACGAUGUCUACUAGCGUUGGGGCCUUUGAGGCUUUAGUGGCGCAGCUAACGCGAUAAGUAGACCGCCUGGGGAGUACGGUCGCAAGACUAAAACUCAAAUGAAUUGACGGGGGCCCGCACAAGCGGUGGAGCAUGUGGUUUAAUUCGAUGCAACGCGAAGAACCUUACCUGGCCUUGACAUACUAGUAAAACUUCCAGAGAUGGAUUGGUGCCUUCGGGAAUCUAGAUACAGGUGCUGCAUGGCUGGCGUCAGCUCGUGUCGUGAGAUGUUGGGUUAAGUCCCGCAACGAGCGCAACCCUUUUCCUUACUUGCCAGCAUUUCGGAUGGGAACUUUAAGGAUACUGCCAGUGACAAACUGAGGAAGGCGGGACGACGUCAAGUCAUCAUGGCCCUUACGGCCAGGGCUACACACGUGCUACAAUGGUCGGUACAAAGGGUUGCUACACAGCGAUGUGAUGCUAAUCUCAAAAAGCCGAUCGUAGUCCGGAUUGGAGUCUGCAACUCGACUCCAUGAAGUCGGAAUCGCUAGUAAUCGCGGAUCAGAAUGCCGCGGUGAAUACGUUCCCGGGCCUUGUACACACCGCCCGUCACACCAUGGGAGUUUGUUGCACCAGAAGUAGCUAGCCUAACUGCAAAGAGGGCGGUUACCACGGUGUGGCCGAUGACUGGGGUGAAGUCGUAACAAGGUAGCCGUAGGGGAACCUGCGGCUGGAUCACCUCCUUA